GAUCGAUGGCUCAGGAUGAACGCUGGCGGCGUGCCUAAUACAUGCAAGUCGAGCGAGAACCUCGAAACUGAGAUUCGUCAAUGCGGAGAAGGGGAAAGCGGCGGACGGGUGAGUAACGCGUAGGCAACCUGCCCUUAGCAGAGGGAUAGCCAUUGGAAACGAUGAUUAAAACCUCAUAAUGCUGGAGCGACACAUGUCGCCUUUGCCAAAGAUUUAUCGGCUAAGGAUGGGCCUGCGUCUGAUUAACUAGUUGGUGAGGUAACGGCUCACCAAGGUGACGAUCAGUAGCCGACCUGAGAGGGUGAUCGGCCACAUUGGAACUGAGACACGGUCCAAACUUCUACGGAAGGCAGCAGUAAGGAAUCUUGCACAAUGGGGGGAAAAACCCCUGAUGCAGCAACGCCGCGUGAACGAUGAAGGCCUUCGGGUUGUAAAGUUCUGAUCUUGGGGAAGAAGAAGUGACGGUACCCAAGGAGAAAGCCCCGGCUAACUACGUGCCAGCCGCGGC
RNAcentral lists this ribosomal RNA (508 nucleotides) under uncultured bacterium. Its description in RNAcentral is "bacterial SSU rRNA". It matches the Rfam family "Bacterial small subunit ribosomal RNA", at positions 15 to 518 of the family's 1533-position model. The record is from RNAcentral.